This 439-nucleotide ribosomal RNA is filed under the name uncultured bacterium. RNAcentral describes it as "partial 16S ribosomal RNA". It matches the Rfam family "Bacterial small subunit ribosomal RNA", at positions 339 to 795 of the family's 1533-position model. The record is from RNAcentral.
CUACGGGCUGCUCCAGUGAGGAAUAUUGCACAAUGGGGGGAACCCUGAUGCAGCAACGCUGCGUGGAGGAUGACGCAUUUCGGUGUGUAAACUCCUUUUGUAUGUCAAGAAAAUGACGGUAGCAUAUGAAUAAGCACCGGCUAACUCCGUGCCAGCAGCCGCGGUAAUACGGAGGGUGCAAGCGUUACUCGGAAUCACUGGGCGUAAAGGACGCGUAGGCGGGUUGGAAAGUCAGGUGUGAAAUCCUACAGCUUAACUGUAGAACUGCACUUGAAACUUCUAAUCUAGAGUAUGGGAGGGGGAGAUGGAAUUAGUGGUGUAGGGGUAAAAUCCGUAGAUAUCACUAGGAAUACCUAAAGCGAAGGCGAUCUCCUGGAACAUUACUGACGCUAAGGCGUGAAAGCGUGGGGAGCAAACAGGAUUAGAUACCCUCGUAGUC